RNAcentral lists this ribosomal RNA (629 nucleotides) under uncultured bacterium. RNAcentral's name for it is "partial 16S ribosomal RNA". The stretch from base 14 to 523 matches the Rfam family "Bacterial small subunit ribosomal RNA", at positions 38 to 536 of the family's 1533-position model. The record is from RNAcentral.
UUCCCUNGACGCNGGCGGCUCCCUAUACAUGCCAGUAGAACGCUGAAGGAGGAGCUUGCUCUUCUGGAUGAGUUGCGAACGGGUGAGUAACGCGUAGGUAACCUGCCUGGUAGUGGGGGAUAACUAUUGGAAACGAUAGCUAAUACCGCAUAAUAACAGUUGUUGCAUGACAACUGUUUGAAAGGUGCAAUUGCAUCACUACCAGAUGGACCUGCGUUGUAUUAGCUAGUUGGUGGGGUAACGGCUCACCAAGGCGACGAUACAUAGCCGACCUGAGAGGGNGAUCGGCCACACUGGGACUGAGACACGGCCCANACUCCUACGGGAGGCAGCAGUAGGGAAUCUUCGGCAAUGGACGAAAGUCUGACCGAGCAACGCCGCGUGAGUGAANAAGGUUUUCGGAUCGUAAAGCUCUGUUGUAANANAANAACGAGUGUGANAGUGGAAAGUUCACACUGUGACGGUUCUUACCAAAAAGGGACGGUUACUACNUGCCACCANCCGCGGUAAUACUUAGGUCCCAACCUUGNCCCGAUUUUUGGGCUAAANCAACCCAGCCGUUAAAAANUCUAAUUAAGCUGGCUUACCUANACCUUUNAACUUUACUUAUCAAAGGAAUNAUCUUUUAC